Molecule: ribosomal RNA, 769 nt
Filed under: uncultured bacterium
Lineage: Bacteria
Description: bacterial SSU rRNA
Rfam family: Bacterial small subunit ribosomal RNA
Source: RNAcentral
AUUGAACGCUGGCGGCAGGCCUAACACAUGCAAGUCGAGCGGAAACGAGUUACCUGAACCUUCGGGGAACGAUAACGGCGUCGAGCGGCGGACGGGUGAGUAAUGCCUAGGAAAUUGCCCUGAUGUGGGGGAUAACCAUUGGAAACGAUGGCUAAUACCGCAUGAUGCCUACGGGCCAAAGAGGGGGACCUUCGGGCCUCUCGCGUCAGGAUAUGCCUAGGUGGGAUUAGCUAGUUGGUGAGGUAAGGGCUCACCAAGGCGACGAUCCCUAGCUGGUCUGAGAGGAUGAUCAGCCACACUGGAACUGAGACACGGUCCAGACUCCUACGGGAGGCAGCAGUGGGGAAUAUUGCACAAUGGGCGCAAGCCUGAUGCAGCCAUGCCGCGUGUGUGAAGAAGGCCUUCGGGUUGUAAAGCACUUUCAGUCGUGAGGAAGGUAGUGUAGUUAAUAGCUGCAUUAUUUGACGUUAGCGACAGAAGAAGCACCGGCUAACUCCGUGCCAGCAGCCGCGGUAAUACGGAGGGUGCGAGCGUUAAUCGGAAUUACUGGGCGUAAAGCGCAUGCAGGUGGUUUGUUAAGUCAGAUGUGAAAGCCCGGGGCUCAACCUCGGAAUUGCAUUUGAAACUGGCAGACUAGAGUACUGUAGAGGGGGGUAGAAUUUCAGGUGUAGCGGUGAAAUGCGUAGAGAUCUGAAGGAAUACCGGUGGCGAAGGCGGCCCCCUGGACAGAUACUGACACUCAGAUGCGAAAGCGUGGGGAGCAAACAGG